AGCGCGGAAAGCGGAUGGAGCCAGCGAGAAACACAUAGCCAGGGUUCUGUCGCGUGAUCCCCGACGGCACCCGCUCCCCAUCAGCAGCAUCAUACCCGCUGGGAGGAUUCUUAGAGAAGAAAAGUGCUGAUUUAAGAGAAACUACAUUAUUUGUGAAAUACAAAAUUCAUCUUGUGGGUGUAAGAGAUGCCUUUGCGGACGGAUGAAGUUCCUGGUACUAAUUAGCAGGGUCACACCAGCAUGUAGCAUGAUGCCUUGUACACAGUAGGUGCCCAGUAAACACUUUUGGAUCACUGAAUGCAAUGACCAGUGGAUAGAAACAUUGUUCUUCCCCUGACCAGCUUGUUUUCAUUUCCUUUCCAAUUUAAGAAUGUGUUUAACAUUCUAUCCCAGACAAUAUGAUGGUCAUGAAGUCUCUGUCAGAGAGGAAAGGGGGAGUUAAUCUAUAAUGAAGAUCAACAGUGAAGAGGAAAGGGGUCUUCCCUGGAACCCUUCAGUCAUAUACGACAUUUUACACAACAAUAAUGGACCUGUGUAAGGAGGUAUGUGUGGGAGAAGAUUCCAGAAGGUCUUGAGACACUCCAGAUGAAGGUUGGUGUGGGGCUGUGCUGCUGGAGCACCAGAGAGUGAAAAGAGGCAAGUGAUUUAUAGUCUCAUCAAAUAUUGACAAGUUUGGGUUUUCCUUUAGAGUUGGGCAGGGCCUGGCUUGACUUCUUUCUCCACCAGUCUCCAUGAGGCUCAAACAUGUUCUGAUUUUCAGGUUCUGAAAAAGCUCUCAGGGAAAAAGCAGCUUCCAUUCUGUUUUUUUUCCGUUUCUGAAUUCUACUUCCCUUUUAUUUUUGGCCUGGUAAUUUCUGUCUUAUCAGCUUUUAGAUGUCCUUGAGAUUUUUCUUUUCUUUCAUUUUUUUUUUUUUUUUCUUGAGACAGGGUGUAAACCAAAAACUCUUUUAUUCUUUUUUGUUUUCUUUUGAGACAGGAUGUAAACCAAAAAUAAAAUUCUAAUGCCUUCCCCUCCUUGCAACCAUCUGAAUGGACUUCCUCCUGGGCCAGGGCACUCCUAACCUGAAAGACUGGUUCAGGCCAUGAUGGGAAGUGGAGGUCAGACAGGACUCAUUAUACCUCUCUGAUGAGAAGCAUUUACAAUCUAUUUUCUCUGAAGCCUGCUACCCGGAGGCUUCAUCUGCAUGGUAAAACUUUGGUUUCCACAACCUCCUGUCACAACACAGACAUUUUCUUUCUAUUGAUCCCAGAUCUUUAGAUAAACUCAACCAAUUGUCAACCAGUCAAUUUUAAAUCUACCUAUAACCUGGGAGCCCCCAACCUCCGCCCAACAAUUCAAGUUGUCCCACCUUUCUGGACAGAACCAAUCUAUUUCUUAAAUGUAUUUGAUUGACAUCUCAUGUCUCCCUAAAAUGUAUAAAACCAAACUGCACCCCGACCACCUUGGGCAUAUGUUCUCAGGAUCUCCUGAGGGCUGUGUUACAGGCCACGGUCACUCCUAUUUGGCUCAGAAUAAAUCUCUUCAAAUAUUUUACAGAGCUUGGCUCUUUUCAUUUGUUAAUGAUCUCACUCUGUCAUCCAGGUUGGAGUGCAGUGGUGCGAUCAUGGAUUACUGCAGCCUCUACCUCCCUGGGCUCACGUGAUCCUCCCUUCACAGCCUCCCAAGUAGCUGAGACUACACACAUGCACCACCAUGCCUGGUUAAUUUUAAAACUUUUUGUAUAGAUGGAGGUCUUACUGUGUUGCCCAGGCUGGUCUCAAACUUCUGGCCUCAAGUGAUCCUACUGAGAGGUGAUGAUGGCGUGCUGGCAGUCCUCACAGCCCUCGCUCGCUCUCGGCGCCUCCUCUGCCUGGGCUCCCACUUUGGCGGCACUUGAGGACCCCUUCAGCCCACCGCUGCACUGUGGGAGCCCCUUUCUGGGCUGUCCAAGGCCGGAGCCGGCUCCCUCAGCUUGCAGGGAGGUGUGGAGGGAGAGGCGCAAGUGGAAACCGGGGCUACGUGCGGUGCUUGCGGGCCAGGUGGAGUUCCAGGUGGGCGUGGGCUUGGCGGGCCCCACACUGGGAGCAGCCAGCCAGCCCUGCCUGCUGCGGGCCAUGAGGGACUUAGCACCCGGGCCAGCGGCAGCGGAGGAUGUACUGGGUCCCCAAGCAGUGCCAGCCCACCGGCACUGCGCUCGAUUUCUCACCGGGCCUUAGCUGCCUCCCCGCGGGGCGGGGCUCGGGACCUGCAGCCCGCCAGGCCUGAGCCUCCCACCCCCUGCAUGGGCUCCCGUGCGGCCCAAGCCUCCCCGACGAACGCCGCCCCCUGCUCCAGGGCGCCCAGUCCCAUCGACCGCCCAAGGGCUGAGGAGUGUGAGCGCACGGCGCAGGACUGGCGGGCAGCUCCACCUGCAGCCCGGGUGCGGGAUCCACUGGGUGAAGCCAGGUGGGUUCCUGAGUCUGGUAGGGACGUGGAGAGUCUUUAUGUCUAGCUCAGGGAUUGUAAACACACCAAUCGGCACUCUGUAUCUAGCUCAAGGUUUGUAAACACACCAAUCAGCACCCUGUGUCUAGCUCAGGGUUUGUGAGUGCACCAAUCGACACUCUGUAUCUAGCUGUUCUGGUGGGGCCUUGGAGAACCUUUGUGUGGAUACUCUGUAUCUAACUAAUCUGAUGGGGAUGUGGAGAACCUUUGUGUCUAGCUCAGGGAUUGUAAAUGCACCAAUCAGCGCCCUGUCAAAACAGGCCACUCAGCUCUACCAAUCAGCAGGAUGUGGGUGGGGCCAGAUAAGAGAAUAAAAGCAGGCUGCCCGACCCAGCAUUGGCAACCCGCUCGGGUCCCCUUCCACACUGUGGAAGCUAUGUUCUUUCGCUCUUUGCAAUAAAUCUUCCUACUGCUCACUUUUUGGGUCUACACUGCUUUUAUGAGCUGUAACACUCACUGCGAAGGUCUGCAGCUUCACUCCUGAAGCCAACGAGACCACGAGCCCACCGGGAGGAACGAACAACUCCAGAUGCGCCACCUUAAGAGCUGUACCACUCACUAUGAAGGACUGCAGCUUCACUCCUGAGCCAGCGAGACUACGAACCCACCAGAAGGAAGAAACUCCGAACACAUCCGAACAUCAGAAGGAACAAACUCCAGACGCGCCACCGUAAGAGCUGUAACACUCACCGCAAGGGUCCGCGGCUUCAUUCUUGAAGUCAGUGAGACCAAGAACCCACCAAUUCCGGACACACUACCACCUCAGCCUCCCAAAUUGGUGGGAUUACAGGGAGAAGAUUUUUAUUUUAUUUUUAUAGAGAUGGGGUCUCAGUAUGAUGCCGUGGCUGGUAUUGAACUCCUGGGUUCAAGCGAUACCCCUGCCUUAGCUUCUCAAAGUGCUGGGAUUACAGGUGUGAGCCACCAUGCCCAUCCUGGGAGAAGACUUUUAAAACAUACUUUGUUUAGGCCAGGCAUGGUGUUGAGGUCAGGAGUUCAAGACCAUGCUGGCCAACAUGGCGAAACUGUGUCUCUACUAGAAAAUAUAAAAAACUUAGCCAGGCAUGGUGGCAAGUACCUGUAGUCCCAGCUACUUGGGAGGCUGAGGAAGGAGAAUUGCUUGAAUCCAGGAGGUGGAGGUUGCGGUGAGUCAAGAUCACGCCACUGCACUGCAGCCUGGGUGACAGAGCGAGACUCUGUCUCAAAAAAACAAAAGCAAAUCAUGUUUCGUUGAGUUUAUUUAGCUGUGUAUUCACAAGUUGAUUGGCAUAUCUCAGCCCGUACCAACUCCACCCCGGAAUGCUCUUCCCAGGCUUCCUAACAGGUAUUCUCCUUUACCUGGAUUGCAUUUGUAGAAAACACUCUGCUUCAGUGGGAGGCAAGGAACAGAAUCUUUCUCUGUCUAGGGCAUACUCUUCCAGGUUAUCUGAUUCCAAUUCUAUGGGACCUAUUUUACCAUUCUGAAAGCUACAGAUAACCAAUAGCAAUGAAAAAUAAUUCUUGUCUAUGGAUAUGCAAAUGCUUAUGUUCUAUAGAGAGACAACCCUUCCUCACUUCCCCCCAAAUCCCCCAGUUUGCUUCCAUUUUACACAUUCAUUUCAAUAUUGCUCUUCUCUUCCUUCUUUUCUUUUUUUUUUAGGGUAUCUCCCUCUGUGCUAGGCCAGAGUGCAGUGGUGCAAUCAUGGCUCACUGUAGUCUCAACCUCCUGGGUUCAAGAGAUCCUCCCACUUCAGCCUCCCAAGUAGCUAGGACUACAGGCACAUGUCAUCAUAUCUGGCUAAUUAAAAAAAAAAAAGAUUAUAGAGAUGGGCUCUCCCCCUAUGUUUCCCAGGUUGGUCUCAAACUCCUGGGCUCAAGUGAUCCUCCCAUCUUGGCCUCCCAACUUGCUGGGAUUACAGGCAUUUGCCACUGUGUCCAGCCCAUUUCAAUAUUUCUGAUCAAUAAAUGUGCCUGUCCUUCAGAUUCUCCUUUGAAUUAGCUGUCACACCUCUUCAGUUUCUUCACUGAGGAGUUAAAUAUAAUCUUUAGCACAUGAUAUUGUUUAGCUCUGUGUCCCCACCAAAUCUCAUCUUGAAUCGUAAUCCCCCUGUGUGUCAAGGGAUGGACCUGGUAGGGGAUAAUUGGAUCAUGGGGGCGGUUUUCCCCAUGGUGUUCCCGUAUAGCAAAUGAGUUCUCACGAGAUCUGAUGGUUUAAAAGUGGUUGGCAGUUCCCCCUUCUCUCUCUCUCUCUCUCUCUGGCCACUUUGUGAAAAAGGUGCUCGCUUUUCCUUCGCUUUCUGCCGUGAUUGUAAGUUUCCUGAGGUCUCUCCAGCCAUGUGGAACUGUGAGUUAAUUAAACCUCUUUCCUUUAUAAAUUACCCAGUUUCAGGUAGUUCUUUAUAGCAGUGUGCAAAUGGACUGUUACAGCACAUAUUCAUUUUUAUAUCUAUAUUGAGUUAUCAUUUAACCUGUUUUUGAAAAUUAUCUUUUAAUAUGCGUUUUUCUCUUUCUUAUUAUCUUCUUUUGCUAAAGCCUGUUCUCCAGUAGCUUCCUAAGAAAGGGUGCACAGGAGACCCAUUUUUUGAGCCCCUCCUUAUCUGACAAUGUUUUUGUUUGACCCUUACCUUUGAUUAAUAAUGCGACUGGAUGUUGAACUUGUGAAAGGAAAAUAAAAACUCGGGACCCCAAUUCAGUACGCCAAAAGGAAAAAAAAAAAAAAAGAAGCUGAAAGCUGAGUCAUGCAAGAAACUGCCUUUUCUUUUGCUCCUAAGUAGAUGGCUACAGAUAAAAGGUUAAAUAUCUCCACGGGUAGCUACUCCAUGUUCACCUUAUCUUAUGUAAAGCGCCGAUUUACUGAGCAGGAGACAGAUAUGUAACUGACUAUUCCCUAGCUGCUCUUCUCCCCUUGCAACAUGUGAAUUACCAUACCCUUCCUCUAUC
Long non-coding RNA from Pongo pygmaeus (Bornean orangutan), 5380 nucleotides. RefSeq lists it as uncharacterized. Lineage: Eukaryota; Metazoa; Chordata; Mammalia; Primates; Hominidae. The record is from RefSeq and is a predicted model, not a curated record. The transcript is spliced from 5 exons.